Molecule: ribosomal RNA, 1352 nt
Filed under: metagenome
Description: bacterial LSU rRNA
Rfam family: Bacterial large subunit ribosomal RNA
Source: RNAcentral
AGCGAAAUAUAGUAGCGAAGUUCCUGAUUCCACACUGCCAAGAAAAGCCUCUAGCGAGGUGAGAGGUGCCCGUACCGCAAACCGACACAGGUAGGCGAGGAGAGAAUCCUAAGGUGAUCGAGAGAACUCUCGUUAAGGAACUCGGCAAAAUGACCCCGUAACUUCGGGAGAAGGGGUGCUCUGUUAGGGUGCAAGCCCGAGAGAGCCGCAGUGAAUAGGCCCAGGCGACUGUUUAGCAAAAACACAGGUCUCUGCGAAGCCGUAAGGCGAAGUAUAGGGGCUGACGCCUGCCCGGUGCUGGAAGGUUAAGAGGAGCGCUUAGCGUAAGCGAAGGUGCGAAUUGAAGCCCCAGUAAACGGCGGCCGUAACAAUAACGGUCCUAAGGUAGCGAAAUUCCUUGUCGGGUAAGUUCCGACCCGCAUGAAAGGCGCAACGAUCUGGGCACUGUCUCAACGAGAGACUCGGUGAAAUUAUAGUACCUGUGAAGAUGCAGGUUACCCGCGACAGGACGGAAAGACCCCGUGGAGCUUUACUGCAGCCUGAUAUUGAAUGUUGGUACAGCUUGUACAGGAUAGGUAGGAGCCUUGGAAACCGGAGCGCCAGCUUCGGUGGAGGCAUCGGUGGGAUACUACCCUGGCUGUAUUGACCUUCUAACCCGCCGCCCUUAUCGGGCGGGGAGACAGUGUCAGGUGGGCAGUUUGACUGGGGCGGUCGCCUCCUAAAAGGUAACGGAGGCGCCCAAAGGUUCCCUCAGAAUGGUUGGAAAUCAUUCGCAGAGUGUAAAGGCACAAGGGAGCUUGACUGCGAGACCUACAAGUCGAGCAGGGACGAAAGUCGGGCUUAGUGAUCCGGUGGUUCCGCAUGGAAGGGCCAUCGCUCAACGGAUAAAAGCUACCCCGGGGAUAACAGGCUUAUCUCCCCCAAGAGUCCACAUCGACGGGGAGGUUUGGCACCUCGAUGUCGGCUCAUCGCAUCCUGGGGCUGUAGUCGGUCCCAAGGGUUGGGCUGUUCGCCCAUUAAAGCGGUACGCGAGCUGGGUUCAGAACGUCGUGAGACAGUUCGAUCCCUAUCCGUCGCGGGCGCAGGAAAUUUGAGAGGAGCUGUCCUUAGUACGAGAGGACCGGGAUGGACGCACCGCUGGUGUACCAGUUGUUCUGCCAAGGGCAUCGCUGGGUAGCUAUGUGCGGACGGGAUAAGUGCUGAAAGCAUCUAAGCAUGAAGCCCCCCUCAAGAUGAGAUUUCCCAUUCCGCAAGGAAGUAAGAUCCCUGAAAGAUGAUCAGGUUGAUAGGUCUGAGGUGGAAGUGUGGCGACACAUGGAGCUGACAGAUACUAAUCGAUCGAGGACUUAACC